Molecule: ribosomal RNA, 523 nt
Filed under: uncultured bacterium
Lineage: Bacteria
Description: bacterial SSU rRNA
Rfam family: Bacterial small subunit ribosomal RNA
Source: RNAcentral
ACUAAAUAGAUACCCGGGUAGUCCACGCUGUAAACGAUGAGUGCUAGAUGCCGGAUUUUUUCGGUGUCGCAGCUAAACGCAUUAAGCACUCCACCUGGGAAGUACGAUCGCAAGGUUGAAACUCAAAGGAAUUGACGGGGGCCCGCACAAGCAGUGGAGCAUGUGGUUUAAUUCGAUGCAACGCGAAGGACCUUACCUAGGCUUGAAAAGCUUAUGACCGGCUGUGAAAGCAGCUUUCCCGCAAGGGCAUAAGUACAGGUGCUGCAUGGCUGUCGUCAGCUCGUGCCGUGAGGUGUUGGGUUAAGUCCCGCAACGAGCGCAACCCUUACCAUUAGUUGCCACCGGAGCAAUCCGAGCACUCUAAUGGAACUGCCUACGCAAGUAGUGAGGAAGGUGAGGAUGACGUCAAGUCCGCAUGGCCCUUACGCCUAGGGCUACACACGUGCUACAAUGGCCGCCACAACGGGCAGCAAAAUCGCGAGAUGGAGCGAAUCCCUAAAAAGCGGCCUCAGUUCGGAUUGGA